RNAcentral lists this ribosomal RNA (404 nucleotides) under Actinomycetes bacterium. Its description in RNAcentral is "Actinobacteria bacterium partial 16S ribosomal RNA". It matches the Rfam family "Bacterial small subunit ribosomal RNA", at positions 355 to 776 of the family's 1533-position model. Lineage: Bacteria; Bacillati; Actinomycetota; Actinomycetes. The record is from RNAcentral.
UGGGGAAUAUUGGACAAUGGGCGCAAGCCUGAUCCAGCCAUGCCGCGUGAGUGAUGAAGGCCCUAGGGUUGUAAAGCUCUUUCACCGGUGAAGAUAAUGACGGUAACCGGAGAAGAAGCCCCGGCUAACUUCGUGCCAGCAGCCGCGGUAAUACGAAGGGGGCUAGCGUUGUUCGGAUUUACUGGGCGUAAAGCGCACGUAGGCGGACUAUUAAGUCAGGGGUGAAAUCCCGGGGCUCAACCCCGGAACUGCCUUUGAUACUGGUAGUCUUGAGUGCGAGAGAGGUGAGUGAAAUUCCGAGUGUAGAGGUGAAAUGCGUAGAUAUUCGGAGGAAAACCAGUGGCGAAGGCGGCUCACUGGCUCGAUACUGACGCUGAGGUGCGAAAGCGUGGGGAGCAAACAGG